RNAcentral lists this ribosomal RNA (776 nucleotides) under Corallina officinalis. RNAcentral's name for it is "SSU rRNA". It matches the Rfam family "Eukaryotic small subunit ribosomal RNA", at positions 323 to 1103 of the family's 1831-position model. Lineage: Eukaryota; Rhodophyta; Florideophyceae; Corallinales; Corallinaceae. The record is from RNAcentral.
CGAUGGUAAGGUAGUGUCUUACCAUGGUGGCAACGGGUAACGGACCGUGGGUGCGGGACUCCGGAGAGGGAGCCUGAGAAACGGCUACCACAUCCAAGGAAGGCAGCAGGCGCGUAAAUUACCCAAUCCAGACUCUGGGAGGUAGUGACAAGAAAUAUCAAUAGGGGUCCUAUAAGGUCUUCUAAUUGGAAUGAGAACAAGCUAAACAGCUUAUCGAGAAUCCAGCAGAGGGCAAGUCUGGUGCCAGCGGCCGCGGUAAUUCCAGCUCUGUAAGCGUAUACCAAAGUUGUUGCAGUUAAAACGCUCGUAGUCGGACUUUGGCAAUUCCGGAUGUGUGCGCGUCGUGCGCGCACUUUGCAGGGGUUGCUUUUGUGGGCAUGCGUGGGAUGAUGCGACUUUAUUGUCGAACGUCCCUACGCAACCACCUUUUACUGUGAGAAAAUUAGAGUGUUCAAAGCAGGCAAUUGCCGUGAAUACAUUAGCAUGGAAUAAUAGAAUAGGACUCGGUCUUAUUUUGUUGGUUUGUUAGGGCUGAGUAAUGAUUAAGAGGGACAGUUGGGGGCAUUUGUAUUCAGGCGCUAGAGGUGAAAUUCUUAGAUUGCUGGAAGACAAACUGCUGCGAAAGCGUCUGCCAAGGAUGUUUUCAUUGAUCAAGAACGAAAGUAAGGGGAUCGAAGACGAUCAGAUACCGUCGUAGUCUUUACUAUAAACGAUGAGGACUGGGGAUCGGGCGAGGAAUAUCGAUGACCCGCCCGGCACCCUCCGGGAAACCAAAG